UACGUAGGCAGCGAGCGUUGUUCGGAGUUACUGGGCGUAAAGGGUGUGUAGGCGGUUUUCUAAGUUUGGUGUGAAAUCUCCCGGCUCAACCGGGAGGGUGCGCCGAAAACUGGGAGACUAGAGUGCGGGAUGGGAGAGUAGAAUUCCUGGUGUAGCGGUGAAAUGCGUAGAUAUCAGGAGGAACACCGGUGGCGAAGGCGGGUCUCUGGGCCGAUACUGACGCUGAGGAGCGAAAGCGUGGGGAGCAAACAGG
Molecule: ribosomal RNA, 253 nt
Filed under: uncultured bacterium
Lineage: Bacteria
Description: partial 16S ribosomal RNA
Rfam family: Bacterial small subunit ribosomal RNA
Source: RNAcentral